This 305-nucleotide ribosomal RNA is filed under the name uncultured bacterium. RNAcentral describes it as "bacterial SSU rRNA". It matches the Rfam family "Bacterial small subunit ribosomal RNA", at positions 337 to 659 of the family's 1533-position model. The record is from RNAcentral.
ACCUACGGGGCGCAGCAGUGGGGAAUAUUGCACAAUGGGGGGAACCCUGAUGCAGCGACGCCGCGUGGGCGAUGGAGCGCCUCGGCGCGUAAAGCCCUAUCAGCAGGGAAGAAGAUGACGGUACCUGACUAAGAAGCCCCGGCUAAAUACGAGCCAGCAGCCGCGGUAAUACGUAUGGGGCAAGCGUUAUCCGGAUUUACUGGGUGUAAAGGGAGCGCAGGCGGCCUGGCAAGCCUGAUGUGAAAUACCGGGGCCCAACCCCUGGGCUGCAAUGGGAACUGCCAGGCUGGAGCGCCGGAGAGGCG